Long non-coding RNA from Perognathus longimembris pacificus (Pacific pocket mouse), 299 nucleotides. RefSeq lists it as uncharacterized. The record is from RefSeq and is a predicted model, not a curated record. Lineage: Eukaryota; Metazoa; Chordata; Mammalia; Rodentia; Heteromyidae. The transcript has 3 exons.
GUCAUAAGCAUUUUAUAGGCACAGAUAUCUUAAGUCUUGUGUCACAUGCUUUGUGUCUGAUGCCACCAGAAAUGUGUUAUGAAUUCUGUAUUUAACCCACUCGUAGUGGUAUGAGCCCUUGAGGACUGAACCACAGAGUAAACACAGCCUUUGUAUGGUAGCAGAUUUGUAUCUAACUUUAUUUGUGGUUGGGGGAGAAAGUUGGUGUUUUUGUCUAAAUAGUCAAUAUUCAUCCUAUGGUUGGUUAUGUAAUUACUUGUUCUACGUUGUGACCUGUGCAAUAAAACAGAUUCGUGUAU